This 1372-nucleotide ribosomal RNA is filed under the name uncultured bacterium. RNAcentral describes it as "bacterial SSU rRNA". It matches the Rfam family "Bacterial small subunit ribosomal RNA", at positions 28 to 1381 of the family's 1533-position model. The record is from RNAcentral.
GAUGAACGCUGGCGGCGUGCCUAAUACAUGCAAGUCGAGCGAACGGACGAGAAGCUUGCUUCUCUGAUGUUAGCGGCGGACGGGUGAGUAACACGUGGAUAACCUACCUAUAAGACUGGGAUAACUUCGGGAAACCGGAGCUAAUACCGGAUAAUAUUUUGAACCGCAUGGUUCAAAAGUGAAAGACGGUCUUGCUGUCACUUAUAGAUGGAUCCGCGCUGCAUUAGCUAGUUGGUAAGGUAACGGCUUACCAAGGCAACGAUGCAUAGCCGACCUGAGAGGGUGAUCGGCCACACUGGAACUGAGACACGGUCCAGACUCCUACGGGAGGCAGCAGUAGGGAAUCUUCCGCAAUGGGCGAAAGCCUGACGGAGCAACGCCGCGUGAGUGAUGAAGGUCUUCGGAUCGUAAAACUCUGUUAUUAGGGAAGAACAUAUGUGUAAGUAACUGUGCACAUCUUGACGGUACCUAAUCAGAAAGCCACGGCUAACUACGUGCCAGCAGCCGCGGUAAUACGUAGGUGGCAAGCGUUAUCCGGAAUUAUUGGGCGUAAAGCGCGCGUAGGCGGUUUUUUAAGUCUGAUGUGAAAGCCCACGGCUCAACCGUGGAGGGUCAUUGGAAACUGGAAAACUUGAGUGCAGAAGAGGAAAGUGGAAUUCCAUGUGUAGCGGUGAAAUGCGCAGAGAUAUGGAGGAACACCAGUGGCGAAGGCGACUUUCUGGUCUGUAACUGACGCUGAUGUGCGAAAGCGUGGGGAUCAAACAGGAUUAGAUACCCUGGUAGUCCACGCCGUAAACGAUGAGUGCUAAGUGUUAGGGGGUUUCCGCCCCUUAGUGCUGCAGCUAACGCAUUAAGCACUCCGCCUGGGGAGUACGACCGCAAGGUUGAAACUCAAAGGAAUUGACGGGGACCCGCACAAGCGGUGGAGCAUGUGGUUUAAUUCGAAGCAACGCGAAGAACCUUACCAAAUCUUGACAUCCUUUGACAACUCUAGAGAUAGAGCUUUCCCCUUCGGGGGACAAAGUGACAGGUGGUGCAUGGUUGUCGUCAGCUCGUGUCGUGAGAUGUUGGGUUAAGUCCCGCAACGAGUGCAACCCUUAAGCUUAGUUGCCAUCAUUAAGUUGGGCACUCUAAGUUGACUGCCGGUGACAAACCGGAGGAAGGUGGGGAUGACGUCAAAUCAUCAUGCCCCUUAUGAUUUGGGCUACACACGUGCUACAAUGGACAAUACAAAGGGCAGCGAAACCGUGAGGUCAAGCAAAUCCCAUAAAGUUGUUCUCAGUUCGGAUUGUAGUCUGCAACUCGACUACAUGAAGCUGGAAUCGCUAGUAAUCGUAGAUCAGCAUGCUACGGUGAAUACGUUCCCGGGUCU